RNAcentral lists this ribosomal RNA (258 nucleotides) under uncultured bacterium. RNAcentral describes it as "partial 16S ribosomal RNA". It matches the Rfam family "Bacterial small subunit ribosomal RNA", at positions 1243 to 1500 of the family's 1533-position model. The record is from RNAcentral.
CGAGUCGCAAGACCGCGAGGUUUAGCAAAUCUCUUAAAGCCGUUCUCAGUUCGGAUUGUAGGCUGCAACUCGCCUACAUGAAGUCGGAAUCGCUAGUAAUCGCGGAUCAGCAUGCCGCGGUGAAUACGUUCCCGGGCCUUGUACACACCGCCCGUCACACCAUGAGAGUUUGUAACACCCAAAGCCGGUGGGGUAACCUUUUGGAGCCAGCCGUCUAAGGUGGGACAGAUGAUUAGGGUGAAGUCGUAACAAGGUAAC